RNAcentral lists this ribosomal RNA (253 nucleotides) under uncultured bacterium. RNAcentral describes it as "partial 16S ribosomal RNA". It matches the Rfam family "Bacterial small subunit ribosomal RNA", at positions 524 to 776 of the family's 1533-position model. The record is from RNAcentral.
UACGUAGGGUGCAAGCGUUGUCCGGAAUUAUUGGGCGUAAAGAGCGUGUAGGCGGCCAGAUAGGUCUGCUGUGAAAACUCGAGGCUCAACCUCGAGCUGUCGGCGGAAACCAUCUGGCUAGAGUCCGGAAGAGGAGAGUGGAAUUCCUGGUGUAGCGGUGAAAUGCGCAGAUAUCAGGAAGAACACCUAUGGCGAAGGCAGCUCUCUGGGACGGUACUGACGCUGAGACGCGAAAGCGUGGGGAGCGAACAGG